GCAAGCACAAGAAAGAGAACAGAAGAACAUGGCCAAGGUUACACAAGAAAGGAAGCCAUUUGGCUGAUCUACCCCAUUUAAUUCCUUCUGGAGAAGGCGAUGACCCCACCGAAGCCAAGCCCCAGGGCGAAGAAGACCUGGGUGGCUGCUUCUCGCCACACCUGGGGCUCCAGCAUCUUUUCAAGCUGAGAGAGGAGGGACAUGGUUAAAAAAAGGAUGGGAGAGAUAGUGGUGAAGGAAACACAAUCCCAAAAUUGAAUAAUGGUUUCAUGCAGCUCUAAUGACGAAUGAGGAUUAUGAAUGAAUGAUCUAAACAAAAACCACUAGGCAGGAUAUGAUGACACUCAAGGCCUGGCUCUUCCUACAGACGAUCUCAGUUCAAAUCCUUGAAAACCACUGUCUUCUACCUCUCCUUUCACCUGGAUGACAGUUUGCUUAGAAAUGAGCGUCAGUGGCUCGGUAGACGUGCUUCCACAGAGAGGAAUGGAAAGUGGCUGAAAGCUGUGAAGAGGCUCCACUAGAGGGAGACAGCAUCCAUCGUUUCUGCUGGGACUGUGCAGAAGCCUCCAGAGCUCAAUGACGGAUUGUGCAGUAGAUCCUGCAUUUUUGGCACAGAUUGCAAAUCCGCAGAAGCAAAGAAAAAUGUAAACACGUGACUCUUGAGUUCUGACUGUAAGGGGAUUAUAAAUAUUUAAAUACUGGGGAAUAUGGUGACAUUGAUGUUAGUACUGUUCUCUUCACAUUUUUGGGGUCCUGGGUUCGACUUCAGACUGGAGCUCCUACUGUGCAGAGUUUGCAUAUUCUCAUCAUGUUCAUGUGGGCUUUCUCCGGAUGCUACGGUUUGCUCUCACCUCAAAGACACGCUGACUAGGUUCAUUUGUUUUACUGAUUUUUCCCUCAGUGUACGUAUGUCUGAACCCUGCAAUAGAAUAGCGUUCCAUCCAAAAUCUAGCCCUGCCUUGCACCCUAUGUAUCCAGGAUAGCCUCUGGAUUUCCUUGACCCUUAACAGGACUGCCCAUUUGUCUGAUAGUGGAUGUAGAUAUCAGUUUAUGUAGCAGUAGAUUAUUUUCUGUACCUGAUCCUAUGCUUACAAAAGAGAUGCAGCAAGGUAACUACAGCAAGAUACUAACUGGAUCACUUAGGUAGAGGUCAGACAUUUGUGUAUUAGUACACUAUGUGAUAAUGUGAUAACGACAUGGC
Long non-coding RNA from Lepisosteus oculatus (spotted gar), 1201 nucleotides. RefSeq lists it as uncharacterized. The record is from RefSeq and is a predicted model, not a curated record. NCBI's taxonomy places the organism in Eukaryota, Metazoa, Chordata, Actinopteri, Semionotiformes, Lepisosteidae.